GUGCUUGCCUUGGCAGGACAUAUACUAAAAUUGGAAUGAUACAAAGAAGAUUAGCAUGGCCCCUGCACAAGGAUGACAUGUAAAUUCAUGAAGCGUUCCAUAUUUUU
RNAcentral lists this small nuclear RNA (107 nucleotides) under Octodon degus (degu). Lineage: Eukaryota; Metazoa; Chordata; Mammalia; Rodentia; Octodontidae. The record is from RNAcentral.